Molecule: unclassified non-coding RNA, 87 nt
Filed under: Pseudomonas psychrophila
Lineage: Bacteria; Pseudomonadati; Pseudomonadota; Gammaproteobacteria; Pseudomonadales; Pseudomonadaceae
Source: RNAcentral
UGUGGGAGCGGGCUUGCUCGCGAUGCUGACGACGCGGCUUUUCAAAUAGAGCGCAGCGAUAUCAUCGCGAGCAAGCCCGCUCCCACA